CUACGUGCCAGCAGCCGCGGUAAUACGUAGGGUGCGAGCGUUAAUCGGAAUUACUGGGCGUAAAGCGAGCGCAGACGGUUACUUAAGCAGGAUGUGAAAUCCCCGGGCUCAACCUGGGAACUGCGUUYUGAACUGGGUGACUAGAGUGUGUCAGAGGGAGGUAGAAUUCCACGUGUAGCAGUGAAAUGCGUAGAGAUGUGGAGGAAUACCGAUGGCGAAGGCAGCCUCCUGGGAUAACACUGACGUUCAUGCUCGAAAGCGUGGGGAGCAAACAGGAUUAGAUACCCUGGUAGUCCACGCUGUAAACGAUGUCGAUUUGGGGGUUGAGCUUUAAGUUUGGCGCCCGUAGCUAACGUGAUAAAUCGACCGCCUGGGGAGUACGGCCGCAAGGUUAAAACUCAAAUGAAUUGACGGGGGCCCGCACAAGCGGUGGAGCAUGUGGUUUAAUUCGAUGCAACGCGAAGAACCUUACCUACUCUUGACAUCCAGAGAACAUUC
This 498-nucleotide ribosomal RNA is filed under the name uncultured bacterium. RNAcentral describes it as "bacterial SSU rRNA". It matches the Rfam family "Bacterial small subunit ribosomal RNA", at positions 501 to 1000 of the family's 1533-position model. The record is from RNAcentral.